GAUACCCUACGAUGUUAGUGACUCCAUUUGUGUCUAAAACCGAUGCUAAAUAUAAGGGAGUCCUAUAUCUUAACCCGGACGUCAAGCCUCAUUGGAAUGAUUAGGAGGAAGAUGAAAAGGUUAAUGCGGACACCCACCUGCGAGAGCGGGUUUUUUUGACAUAAAAGAGCACGGCAUUUGUGGGACUUGA
RNAcentral lists this non-coding RNA (190 nucleotides) under Calidifontibacillus erzurumensis. RNAcentral describes it as "6S / SsrS RNA". It matches the Rfam family "6S / SsrS RNA". From Rfam's summary of the family: E. coli 6S RNA was the first non coding RNA to be sequenced, but its function was unknown until recently. It consists of 184 nucleotides that fold into an extended hairpin structure with a large single-stranded internal bulge. The 6S RNA specifically associates with RNA polymerase holoenzyme containing the sigma70 specificity factor. The record is from Rfam by way of RNAcentral. Lineage: Bacteria; Bacillati; Bacillota; Bacilli; Caryophanales; Bacillaceae.